AUGAGGACCCUGUUCUUCAGAAUGGUAUUCCACAUCCUGUCUCUCAGCAAGGGAACUUUCAUCCUAAUCAACAUAAUCACUUUGGGCCCUAUUCAGCAACAUGAGCAUGAAGGCCAUCAGGGCAAUAUUGAGCAGCAGCAGCCCCCACAACUUAACCUUCAGCUAGCCCUAAAUUCAAUUGGUAACAAUGGUAGUAACCAAGAUGAUGAGAUGGAGGAUCUCCCUAGGUGGGGUUAUUGGGCCAUGGCACGGGACCCACUCAUUGAUCAGGAACUGCAUCCCGGAGAAUUUCUGGCUCUUAAUGAUUUAAUGGCUCCCAUGGAAGAAGAGUUUCCUCUAGAUGAUGAUGCCAAUGCCAAUAACAUCAUUACUGUGUCAAUGGCACCAUCAAAUAACAAUGCAAAUUCGGCUGCUUCUGCCAAUGGCCCCUUGGCGCCAUACCUACCUGAUUUAAAUAUGCAGUCGAACCAAGUGGAACCUGAGGCCCAUAACAUCAUUGUUCCAGUGGCCCAGUUGGCUGUUGAUGGGCGUCCACUGAAAAAACAUUCAGCCCAUUAUGGACCAGAGCUUGGAGGUUAUUUUUCAUCAGGCUCACACUGCUGA
This 603-nucleotide ribosomal RNA is filed under the name Triticum aestivum (bread wheat). Its description in RNAcentral is "partial small subunit ribosomal RNA". Lineage: Eukaryota; Viridiplantae; Streptophyta; Magnoliopsida; Poales; Poaceae. The record is from RNAcentral.